CUUAAUANGUUAUCUGCUCAUGAUAUUAAAUAGCCGCAGAUAUUCUGUGCUAAGGUAGCAUAAUCAUUCGUUUUUUAAUUGAAAUCCAGAACAAAAGAUUAAACAUUUCAAUUAUUAUUUUAAUUUUAAAUUUUAAAAUUAUCUUAAAUGUAAAAAGACAUUUAUAAAAAAGAAAGACGACAAGACCCUAUUGAGCUUAACUUUAGUUAAACUGGGGCAGUAAAAUAAUUAUUAUUUUAUAAUUCUAAAUUUUUAAAAACCUAAUAUAAUUAAAAUUAUUAAGUUACCUUAGGGAUAACAGCGUAAUAUUUAUUUAAAGCUCAUAUUAAAAUAAAUGAUUGCGACCUCGAUGUUGAAUUAAUUACCUACAUUAUGUAAAAGUAAUGAAAGGAAGUCUGUUCGACUUAUAAAUAAUUACAUGAUCUGAGUCAAAANCCGGAGA
RNAcentral lists this ribosomal RNA (442 nucleotides) under Micaria dives. RNAcentral's name for it is "partial 16S ribosomal RNA". The stretch from base 294 to 442 matches the Rfam family "Archaeal large subunit ribosomal RNA", at positions 2542 to 2693 of the family's 2987-position model. Lineage: Eukaryota; Metazoa; Arthropoda; Arachnida; Araneae; Gnaphosidae. The record is from RNAcentral.